GGUACUUGAUAAUUUGUUAUUUUAAUUUUAAAUUGCUCUUUUUUUUUUCUUUUUUCUCGUCUUGUCAAGAUGCUCUCUUCAGCUUAGGCUAAUUGAUGGUGGUAGCCUUCCCCAUCUCAUACAUUCCGCAUCCCCCACCCUCUUGGGAUUUGAACUCUAUACUUUUCAAUUGGAAGUUUGAGUUCCAACCGUUUCAGAAUCCUCUUGGGGAGAUUUUUAGGUAUUUCUUAGCUGAAGUUGUAGAGCCCAUUUCCUAUUGCAUUCUUUCUGAUAGUUCAGUGCAUUUGAGGAAAUCAAAAAUAUUCUCUAAAUGUACAGUCCAUUCAGGUUUUUCUUAGCUUUAGUCUAAUUCCAGAUUGAUUCCCUGCUACAUACCUGUGUGGUUGCAUUCACACUGAAGUUGAAUCAAUUGCUUGUGAAGAGAAACAGGGAUUUUUUUUUUCCCUUCCUUUUGGUUUCUGGAAGUGAGUUAUUGUGUUCUCUCUCUGUCUCUCUCAAUCUCAAGUCUCACCCUUUCUCCGCUUGUGAUAAACCUGUCUUUAACAGUGCUGAAAAACCUGAAAUGCCAGUGUCUCAAGGGCUUACUGUUCCUUGUAGGGUCUUUCACUUAAGAACAACCAUUUUACCAGCUGAGGAAGACAUGCCAGCAAUCA
Molecule: unclassified non-coding RNA, 653 nt
Filed under: Hevea brasiliensis (rubber tree)
Lineage: Eukaryota; Viridiplantae; Streptophyta; Magnoliopsida; Malpighiales; Euphorbiaceae
Source: RNAcentral